UACGAAGGGGGCUAGCGCUGCUCGGAAUCACUGGGCGUAAAGCGCACGUAGGCGGAUUGUUAAGUCAGGGGUGAAAUCCUGGAGCUCAACUCCAGAACUGCCUUUGAUACUGGCGAUCUUGAGUCCGGGAGAGGUGAGUGGAACUCCGAGUGUAGAGGUGAAAUUCGUAGAUAUUCGGAAGAACACCAGUGGCGAAGGCGGCUCACUGGCCCGGUACUGACGCUGAGGUGCGAAAGCGUGGGGAGCAAACAGG
Molecule: ribosomal RNA, 253 nt
Filed under: uncultured bacterium
Lineage: Bacteria
Description: partial 16S ribosomal RNA
Rfam family: Bacterial small subunit ribosomal RNA
Source: RNAcentral